RNAcentral lists this ribosomal RNA (253 nucleotides) under uncultured bacterium. RNAcentral's name for it is "partial 16S ribosomal RNA". It matches the Rfam family "Bacterial small subunit ribosomal RNA", at positions 524 to 776 of the family's 1533-position model. The record is from RNAcentral.
CACGUAGGGCGCAAGCGUUGUCCGGAAUUAUUGGGCGUAAAGGGCUCGUAGGCGGUCUGUCGCGUCGGGAGUGAAAACUCGGGGCUUAACCCCGAGCCUGCUUCCGAUACGGGCAGACUAGAGGUAUGCAGGGGAGAAUGGAAUUCCUGGUGUAGCGGUGAAAUGCGCAGAUAUCAGGAGGAACACCGGUGGCGAAGGCGGUUCUCUGGGCAUUACCUGACGCUGAGGAGCGAAAGUGUGGGGAGCGAACAGG